This 494-nucleotide ribosomal RNA is filed under the name uncultured bacterium. Its description in RNAcentral is "partial 16S ribosomal RNA". It matches the Rfam family "Bacterial small subunit ribosomal RNA", at positions 28 to 523 of the family's 1533-position model. The record is from RNAcentral.
GACGAACGCUGGCGGCGUGCUUAACACAUGCAAGUCGAGCGAUGAAAGCCUUAUGAACUAUUCGUAGUGAUUGGGGCAGGAUUAGCGGCGGACGGGUGAGUAACGCGUGAGCAACCUGCCUUAAACAACGGGAUAGCCUCGGGAAACCGGGAUUAAUACCGUAUGAGACCCCGCCUUCACAUGAAGAAGAGGUUAAAGAUUUAUCGGUUUAAGAUGGGCUCGCGUCUGAUUAGCUAGUUGGUGAGAUAAAAGCCCACCAAGGCAACGAUCAGUAGCCGGCUUGUGAGGGUGACCGGUCACAUUGGUACUGCGACACGGUCCAAACUCCUACGGGGGUGAGGAGUGGGGAAUAUGGCACAAUGGGGGAAAGCCUGAUGCAGCGACGCCGCGUAAGCGAUGAAGGAAUUCAUUUCGGAAAGCUCUGUACAAGGGGAAGAUAAUGACAGUACCCUUGGAGGAAGCCCCGGCUAAAUACGUGCCAGCAGCCGCCGUAA